Pteropus alecto (black flying fox) is the source of this 10922-nucleotide RNA transcript. It is a transcript of the gene named t-complex-associated-testis-expressed 3, with no coding region annotated. The record is from RefSeq and is a predicted model, not a curated record. The transcript is spliced from 2 exons. NCBI's taxonomy places the organism in Eukaryota, Metazoa, Chordata, Mammalia, Chiroptera, Pteropodidae.
GCCGACGCUCGGCGUCCCUGAAGGAGGGCGGAAUGGAGAAGCGGGGCCGGGGCGCGGCGGCGCCCUCGAACCUGGCACCUCAGCAGCCAUCCGCGGGGCCUCGGAAAGAGAGGAGGCCUAGCAUGUUCGAGAAGGAGGCAGUGAGUGCGGCGGCGGCUCCGUCGGGCGCUCCCUGUCGCCGAAGCCCGUGUCCACUGGCCGGGGGAGCAGGGCUCUUCCGGAGGCGACCCGAGCCCGAGCGUGGGCCGGAGCGCUGCGAUUGUUGUGGUUCAGACCUUGGAGCAAGGGCUACGUUCACCGAUGGGGAGAGCUUUUGCGAGAGCUUCAGCUCUCUUCACUUGCUCAGCUUGCAGAUUUCCUAAGAGUAGCAUAAGAGGUUACUGCAUAAUUUUAGUAUAUUUAGUGCCGUCCAACAAACCAGAGGCAGUUUUACCAGCCACAGAUGAGCGUAUGUGUGCUGUAUUAAAAAAGGGAAAAUAUCUGAUCUACUAAGCAGAAUAAUGAGAUAUUUUCAGAUUUUAAAAACAGCAGCAGACUCAGUAGUUGAAGAAUAUAGAGGGGGAAAAAUGUGGCGCUUAUGUCCACUAACGUCUAAAAUUGAAAAUGUCAUUCGAUUUUAUUGGUGGUAUUACACCAGGAUUUCUAUAGUCUGAAACUAUUGUAAUCAAAAUUCCCAUCUUUUAUUGAGACAGGAAAAAAAGAAUUAUUCCAAGGAUACAAAAUUGUAAUGAUAGAGCUGAGACUAGAUACUGUGUUGUGGUCCACUUAUAAUGGUUUCUUUUCACACCUACUUGAUGGGACCCAUAAUUGAUAGAAUGAAGGAGAGAGAACAGGCAAAACACUCAUUUUGAAGAUCCUAAAACAUUUCAAACAAAAAGAAUUCUCAAAAUAGUCAUAGCAACAUUUCAGGUUCUAAUAACGGCUCUUUGGUGUCUGCGUUUUACAGAAGAAAGAACAAACUAAGGGAAAAAAUAGGCAAAGUUUACUCAAGAAGAAAAAGCAAGGCUAGGAACCUUACUCUAUUGGACUUUAAAUUUUAUGCUCCCAGAAACUGCUGUAUUCCUGGAAAUAAUUCUGAGUAACAGGUUGCCUGGAGUUUAAAAAAAAAUCUAUUUUGAGGCAGACAAAGGUGUCUUUUAUAAACUUACCGCAUACAAAAGAUCUGAAGUGGUCUUGAAAAGUAGGUAAGCCUGAAUCCAAAGGGAGAUGCAUAGGUAUGCUUGGUAUAUAGGCUAAAAUCUAGGACUAAAGGGUCAUGGACCAAGGCAGUUCUUGCCGAUUUGAUAUGGUUGGGAUCAAUACAGCUGUCUUUAAAAUUUAGCUUCCAGAGGUAAAAAAUUUAAAUAGACCAAUUACUGGAAAGAGACCGAGAAAGGAUUCUGCAAAUGCUCAUUAUAUGUACCUGAGGACGAUGAGUGUGCUAAUGAGUCAUGUCUAACUUUCAGGUAACUGAUAAUUCCCAUGUUCCUGAGCAUAGGAAAAAUCAGGACACAGAAUUUAAUCAGUAUAAACAUCUUUUAAUUUUCUGGCAUCCAUUUUUUUUUUCUAGUAUCUCAAUUUUCCUUUGUAGAAUUAACUAAUUUCCUAAUGGAUAUAGUUUUGGUGGGACUGUCAGUCAAUUUCCUUAACUUUGCGGUGAAGAUAAGACCAAAACUAGGCUAAUUAGAUGAACCGUUUCUGGAAUAAUGCAAGGAAAUGGUUAAGAUUAAUUCAAAAUAAGGAUGGCAUGCUGAAAUGCCUCAUUGUCUAGUAAUUUAACUUUCUCUUUUAUUCUGUGGAAUAUCUUUCCAAUUACAUUUUUGCUUAACAAGGAGUUAGUUCUUAUUGCUUGCAACCAAAGAUCCCAAAACUUUAGAUUAUCAAAAAUUGAAAACUUGAUUAGUCUCACUUGAAUACAUAUAUUUGAAAAUCAUAAAUCCUAGCAAAUAGCAUUUAGAAAUACAUUAAUGUAAUGGCAUCUUAUGAUCAAGCUUAGUUUGUUCUAGGAUGAUAAUUAGGCUCAGUGUAAGGAAAUGGGUUAAAUAAUUAAAUUCAGGUGUUUUUAGUAGCUGCAAAAAUUGAUUAUAUUUUAAAUCUAUUCCUAAUUUUAGAAGUGAUUACUAAGAUUUUCCCUUAAUAAAAGGGUAAAAUGCUCUUAGAAUACUAAAUUAAGCCAAUAAGAUAUAAGGAAAAAAUGGUAAGAGACGUGAGUUUUCAGCGUAUUGGAAUCUCUAAGUGUCAUUUUCUAACCAUGCGUGCAUGCUCUUUCUCCAAGAGAAUCAUUGCAUUUGGGAGUUGUAUCCCUUAAAUAUGUUGGAAAAGGAGAUGGCAAUUGACCCUGGAGACAAGCAUUCUCUUAAUAAUUUUUAAAAAAAAGGGUUUUGUUUUUUAAGUGGUUUAGGGAGUUGACAAUGCCUCUCUUCCCCAGCUAAAACUUAAAGCAAUCUGAUAGAUGAUCAAAACAGCAAAUUUGUUUCUGAUGAGGGACUUCUUCUGUCAGCCAACAUGGAAUAACUCCUAUGAGAAGCUACUGAAAAUAACAAAAUAUAUGAAGCAGUUGUUUCCAUUGGUUGGAUAUAAGGCAGGACAGGGUAGUUUUCUCUGAGGGAGGAGAAAUAGGAAAGGUAAGCCCCAAGAUUCCCUUUAACUUACUGAGGAAUCCCAGCCCACAUCUUAUGGAGAGGUCUCCCUUAGUUCAGAAGCAUUUGCGAGCCAGGGUAGGUCACAGUGGCAUGAGUCUGCAGAAUACAGUAUUAAGAGACAGCUGUAGAAAUAGCUCCAGAUAUCUGCAGAGGAUUUUCCUCAAAUUUCCAGCAUAGUGAACUAGUACAUCUGGUGUGAAAACUACCUGUGGCCAAAAAAAGAACCACCCAAAAGGAGCAGAAAAAGGAAACCUCUGACUCACACAAAUAAGUUUGUGUUCCCGCCAGUAAGAGUGGAAAGCCAUGUAAAUCAUUGGGCAUUGGUUACAGUGCUAAGUGUAUUAUCUCAGUAGUGGGGGGUGGAGGUGGGGGAGGAGUAGCCCUAGACUUAAAGAUUUCUCUAGUCUGGCCUAUCAAAGCUUAAAAGCAAGCCUCAAGAAGGUAGUAACUGUUUCCAAGUUACUACCUUCUAGAAGAAAGCUCAAGAAUGCUUAUGGGAUUUCAAAAAUAUACAACAAAUAAGGUGAAAUUCACAAUGUCUGGUGUCCAACUAAAUACUAGCAGACCUAUAGAAAAGCAGGAAAAUACAACCAAGAAACAAUAAAUACGCCCAGAAAUGAUGCAAAGGUAGAAUUACUAUAAAAAGACACAAAAGUAAUUAUUAUAAAAUAGUUAUUGUAUUAAAUUAGUUUUUAUUAAAUUAAAGCACCUAAGUAAUUAAAUUAUAAAACAUUAUUACAAUCUAUAUGUUCAAGCAUGUAGAGAAAAGAUCGAUCAUUUUAAAUCCAAACUGCUACAGAUGAAAAAUAUGAUGUCAGAGAUGUAAAAUACACUGAAUGGCAUUAACAGCAGAUUGGACUGCAAAACAAAGGAUUAGUGAACUCAUAGACAGCAAUAAGAAAACCUGAGGAAAAAAUAUUAGGAGACAUCAACGAGCUACGGGGAAAUUUCAGGCAAAAAUUUUCAGUCCCCAAGUGAAGAGAGGAAACUGGAAAGUCAAAAAAUAUUUGAAGAAUUAAUGAGAAAUUUCUAAAUUUGAAGAAGCUCGAUGAACUUCAAGCAAAAGAAAGAAAAUUAUGCUGAGACAUGCAGUAAUUGCUUAAAAUCAGUGACAUAAAACUAGAAAAUCAACUAGGAAAAAAAAAUAGAAAGGAACAAAGAAGAAAUGACAGCAGACCUUUCAGAAAGAAUGCAAGCCAAACAAGACAUCUUUAAAUUUCUGAAAGAUGCUUGAGGAAAAAAACACCAACCUAGAAUUCUAUACUCAGUGAAGAUAAUCUUUCAAAAAACAAAGAGAAAAUGAGUUUUUCAGACAUAUGAAAGCUAAAAGAAUUCCUUACCAACAGACCCACACUAUCAGAAAUGUUAAAGGAAGGCUUUCAAGAGGAAUAGCAUAGGAGAUGUAAAUCUAGACAAAGAAUAGAAAGCAGUGUGUGAGUGGUAAAUACGUUGAUAAGUGUACAGAUUUUUCUUAUUUUUAAAUUUAUUUUAAGAUAAAUUACUGAUGAAAUCCAAAGUAAUAACGUAUUGUUGAGUUUAUAGCACAAAGACCAGAGGUGGGGGGAGGGGGAGGAAGUAUACCAUUGCAAAGCACUCAUGCUAUAUAUGAAGUCAUUUAAUAUGAUUUGAAGGUUAACUGUUAAGUUAAAGAUAUAUACUAUUAACCCUAAAACCACUACAGGAAAAGAAUAAAGCUAAUAGGUUAACAAAUGACAUGAGAUGGAGUCAUUAAAAAUAAUUCAAAAGCACAAAAAAUACAAGGAACAAAGAACAGGACAAAUAGGAAAACAAGAAAUAUGGGUUUAAACAAAUGUCAACCCCAUUAAAUGCAAAUGUUAUAAACAUCCCAAUUAAAAUUCAGAGAUUAAUGGACUGGUUAUAAAAACAAAAUGAAACGAUAAACUGUCUACAAGAAAUUUUACUAUAAAGGCACAGAUUGGAUAUAAUGAAAAAGAUGAAAAAAGAUACAAUGUGAAUACUAAUCAAAAAUGCUGGAGUGCCUAUAUUUAAUAUCGGAGAAAAUACAUUUCUAAAGAGAAUUAUGAGAGAUGAAGAGGAUCAUUUUAUGAUAUUAAGUCAGUUUAUCAGAAAGACAUAACCUAAAAUCAGAGCUUUGAAAAACAGGAAGCAGAAGGACAUACAUUGUUUGCUGAAAUACAUAAUUGCAGUUGUGAAUUUCAGCACACAUCUCUCAAUAAUUCAUAGAACAAGCAAACCAACUAGUAAGGAUAUAAAAGAUGAAUAAUCAAAUUUGAACUACUGGACUUCUAUAGAAUACUUCAUGCAAUGACAGUUGAAUAAAUGUUCCUUAGAAGUGCAGAUGAAACAUGACUAAGAUACAAGUCUUGGGACGUAAAACGGGUUCCAAUGACUUUAAACAGAUUCAGAUCAUACAAAGUAUAUUCUCAUCACGAUGGAAUAAUUUAGAAAUCAACAAAAAAAUGAAUGAAAAAUUGCAAAUUGAUAAAUGACAGACUUCUAAAUAACCCAUAGGUAAAAGAAGAAGAAAACACUUUGAAUAAAAAUUUAAAAAAACAUUUCAAAAAUUGUUGAAUAUAGUUAAAGCAGUAUGCGGGAGAAAUUUAUAGCCCUAAAUAGCUAUAUUAGAAAGAUUUCAAAUCUAUAUUUCAACUAUCAGCUCAAAUUAGAAAAAGAGCAAAUUAAACUCACAGUAAGCAAAAGAAGAGAGGUAAUAAAAACGGGUAGAAAUUAAUGAAAUAGUAAACAAAAACAAAAUUAAUGAAAUCAAAGAUGAUAGUUUGGAAAGAAUAAAGUUGGCAAACCUCCAGCCCAGAGGCUGGCAAGUGCAUUCUGUGGGUCAAAUCUGGUUGGCAGCCUAUGGUCUAAGAAUGGUGUGUGUGUUUGUAAAAGGUUACCUGGAAUAGUGAGAGAUGGGGGAGGAAGAGAGGGGAAGUGACAAAGACCAUAUUUUGCCCACAACGCCUAAAAUAUUUAAAAAACAAAAAGUGCCAACUCUUGUUCAAGCUGGACUAAUCAAGUCAAAAGAGACAAUAGCACAAUGAAAUGUACAAAUUUCUUGAAAGACACUUACGGGCUGAAUUGUGUGCCCCUAGAAUUUGUAUGUUGAAACCCUAACCCCCAAUACCUCAAUGUGAGUGUAUGUGGAGAUGGUUAGGUUUAAAUGAGUCUGUUAAGGAGGGCCCUAAUCCAGUCUGACAGUGUCUUCAUAAGAGGAUAUUAGGACACAGGCACGCCAGGGCCAAACAUGCCCAGCAGGAUGAUUCUCCUCAAGUUUAAUGUGAAGAGGCAGCAAGAAUGUGGCCAUCUGCAAGCAAGGGGCCUCCAGAGAAACCUGCUCUUAGCAUCUUGGUCUUAGACUUCAGCCUCCAGAACUUAUGCACAGAUUUUAAGAGAAAGACUGAGGGAAUCAAUUCAUGAUGUUCAGUAUGUGGAGCCUCCAUUUGACGAUUCAAUUGCCGAUAUAGGUAAAGAGUGGAAGAGUGCCCUGGCAAAACUACGAUUUGCUAACUCAUACAGAAUGGAGCCAUUGAAAAAGUUCCAAGCUUAUUCAGUAGAAGCUAAAGUCCAGCAGCUCCUAAAGGUAGGGUGAUAGGUAUAUAUGAUAGCAAUAUCUUAGCUGUUGGUGCUUGAUACGCUAUAUUCAGAUUUAUGGCAGUAUAAUUGCCCUGAUUGAUUUUUUAUAGCAUUUAUCUCAAAGUAUGAAAGUACUCUGCAGUCCUGCCAAGUCCUCACAUCGAUGCCAUGAGCCAGGUUCAAGGGAACCUCCUUCCAUUAUUUCAUUCAUUUUUUCAUUAUCCAUAAAUUAUCUCUCGGUUUCCGUGUUCCUCCCAUAAUUGGAGGAAUGAAUAAAAAAAGAACAUGUUGACUAUGUAUAUAUGUGUGAAAAAUUGGUUCCUGCCUAUGCUGAAACAUCUUAAGAAUAGGCAAUCCCUAGUUUAGACUUAGGUUGUUUUCUUUUAACAGACUGAGAUGUAAAGUUUAUUCGAGACAGACAUAUGUUUCCAGGCUCGUUCAAAAAAGUUUCUUCGAUUUCCUAAAACUGAUGCUUUAAUACUAACGCAGAGUCAUGUGUACUAGUGGCGCCAUCUGAAGGCUGCGUUGUCCUGAUGGAAGGGAUGCCCUUCACCAUCUUUCCUGAUAAAGGACCGAGUUACAGCUUUUUUACUUACAGAAAGUGUGUCGAGGGACCACUUUUUCUGAAUCCGUUUUUCACCUUUGGUCCUAGUUCUGGACCCCAGGCACCCGGGAGUUUUCUGUGACCGGAUCCCCUUUGCGGCACUCCCCCAAGCCGAAUCCUACCCCAGAGGCGUUCCUUGUUUUAAAAUUACCGCCCACCCUCCAGCUUACAAGAUGCAUUUCUUCAGUAACAACUGAUGUGAGCUGGCUAUUGGGAAGCAAGCAAAUGUUUAAUUUAUUUUGUAAAAAUAAUUAAUACCCCUUUAAUUCUUUAAAUGAAUUCACCUUUAUUAAUAUAGAAGAAUAGUUAAGCAACUUACUCUCCAACCUCCCUCCACUAUCACAGAUAUAGGUGCAUUUUUAAACCGAACUGUCAGAUGAUAUGGCUUGUGGCUACAGGAAAUAAGUUAAUUGAACUCAAUGUAAUAAAAUAAUAAUUGAUUCCCUUCUUCUCAGUUCUGAAUAUUAAUAGGAAGCAUUUGUGAUGUGAGGGCAUACAGUUGUCUGUGAGGGCAUCAUGUGUCUCUCACUCAGCCCUAUCACAUAAACUGCGUUCAAAUUUAUUGAAAAUAGUAGGAUUUCAAAUUGUAUUUACAUAUGAUAAUUUAUAGAAUUUCAUUGAGCACGAUGGGCCUGGAACAGUUUAUUGGAUAUGUAGGCGGAUGCUAGGGGUCUUCAAGAAACCAAAGAUUUCCUCGGGUUCGAGGAGCACCGAGCACAGUUCUGGGCACAAACAGUAUGUACUGGUGGAGCUCAUGGCACCGUCCUGUGGGAAGUGCUCACGGUUCAUUGAAAAAGGGCCCUUAGGUAGCUAAAGCUUGGGGCGUGGUGGGCAGAUUCAGAGGAGAGAAUGCAUGUGAGUGUCCAAGAGAAAGAGCCACAGCCAAAGGCCUGAGGGAAAUAAAUACUUCUAGACCUCGUUUUAGAUCCAGAAGCAUUCUAGAAGGAACCAAAACAGCAACAAGAGAGCCAUUUCUUUGGUUUUACAGGCCUAUAAAAUAGCUGGCAGGAGCCCAAAUAUUUGUUGCCACCGGAACCCAGAUAGUUGGUUACUUUAGCGUUGGCCCAAGUCAUUUAAUCAAAAGCAUGUGCCAUCUGCUCGCUGGAUGGUCCAGGUCUGCUGAUGGUUUGCAUGAGGACCCCCCAAACCUGGACUGCAGACCAAUGCCAGUCAGUGGCCUGUCAGGAACCAGGCCGCACAGCAGGAGGUGAGAGGUGGGCAAGUUCACGAAGCUUCAUCUGUAUUUGCAGCCGCUCCCCAGCGCUGGCAUCAUCACCUCAGUUCCGCCUGAGAGUAUCAGGCAUUAGAUGCUCACAGGAGCACUGGUCCUCUGGUGCCACAAAGGUUGGGGACCCCUGGUUUGCAGGAAAGUAUAGUGCUUUACGGCCCACACCUAUCUCCCCGCAUCUGUACACUAAUUCAUUAACAAAGGUGAUGAAAAUUUUUGAUUUCCUUGGCAUUAUCCUGGAGGCCACAGAAAAAAGCAAUCAGGUGGAAAGCCAUGGGGAGAGCUGAGGAAGACGGGUCCAUGAUGCAUGCUCUGCGUUCAAGUAACCCUUGCUUUAGGAAAACCCAAAUCUGAAUUUUAGCAAAUAUACAGAUUUUAAAAAGAUUUCUUUCUCCUACAUAAGGAUUCUAAGAAGCUUUCUUUUAAAAUUCCCCUGUCUCCCUAAAAACUGUUCGAUAGAACAACCUAAUAAAAGGAGACUUACAACUUAAAGGUUGCUAAUGAAGAGUCACUGAACAUAAUUUAAAAUCCAAAAUAAGCUUUCUUUCAAAUUGUUAUUGAAAUAAAUUGGUAAGCAUUACAUUUGUUUAAUAUUAUUUGGUUGGGAACAUGUAUUUUUUUUUUAAAGUUAUAUGUAUUAUUUCGACACAUUUUCUACUUGAAUUUUUAGAAAAUAUUUGGUUUUAAAAUUAAAAAUUUUUUUUUUAAAGGAAAGUCUUAAAGAUGUCAAAUAUGACGAUAAAGCCUUCUCUCAUUUGUCGCUUGAAUUAGCAGACCGAAUAUUGAUAGUGGUCAAAGAAUUUGGGUACUACCGUUAUAAGUUUAUUAUAAAAGUAUUAUUUAUUCAAAAGGCUGGUCAGGCAAUAAAUGUAAGUACCCCCAUUGAUCUAGCAUCUAUCAAUUAGAACUAUAAGGUCUCUCCUCUCUAGUGAUUUGAUAUUUAUUGGCAUAUCUCCAAGGCAUUGCAAGAUCUUGUGCUUGUGGAAUGAAAUGAUAAUUUUGUUAAGAAUAUGUUCUUUCACUGUAUGUUAUUUGAAAAGUACUAACUUAUAAAUGACAUUUUUCUAUUGAUAACUUAUUAAAUUGUAUAGCUAGCUUCCUUGAUCGUACCAGUUUUGACAAUUUAAUGUCAUUUAAUAAUUAACCAGUAAAUUCAUUUUAGGCAGUAAUGGGUGUCAGGUGCUGGGGAAAUUACGAAGAAUUAUAAGACAUGGGCCAUGAUUCUCAAGGAGUUUUUACUCUAGUUGAGAAAAUAAAGCGACUCAGUUUAGAGUUUAAGAAAAUAAAAUAAUUUGGGUAGUGUAACAGCUUAGGUCUGAGAGUCCAGUUGGCCUAGAUAUGAAUCCUGGCAGCAACACUCAUGCUGUGGCCUGCGCAGGGUUUUUUUAAUCUAUAAAAUGGGGAAGAUAAAACCUCUUGCUAGAGUUGUUGUGAGUAACUAAAUGAGAUUAUCUGCAUUAAAAUCCUUAACAUAGUCUCAAGCACAAGAGUCCUCAAUAAACAGCGAGAUUAUUGUUAUUAUUUACAAAUAAAGAUGCAAAACCACUAGGCUGUGUAAGUUUCUAGUGAGCUGAGAGUGAAUCUGUGGAGCGGGGCACACUCUGCAGGCGUGGAGGAGUGAACUGUGUGUGGAAGCGUGGAGAGGAGGAGGUAGACGGGCAGACAGGUGACUCGCAGGGAGGAGAGAAUUGCCACAGGUACUGUGCGUGCACCUGAGUAAUGCGGAAGGCCCUUCUAGAUGGUGAUCAGGGCUCUGGCGAGAGCAUUAAGGCAGGGCCAGGUGGUAAGAGUGACCAAGUUGGAUUGUCUAGGGGUAGGGAAGGCCCUCUGACAGCUGAAGGGCAAGAAGAAAUGAGCUGUGCCGAAGAUCAGAGGGAACGCCUAAGCAGAACACGGAGGGCAGAGAUGCUGACGCGGGGUGGACUUGCUGUGCUCCAUUAACACCCGGGGCUUUUUUACGUGGGGGUCUCCUCGGCAUUUUUUUCCACGGAGGCGAGAGCAGACGCCUCUCUAGGGCCUGGCUUGGAAGUUGCACAGUGUCACAUUCUUUUGCUCGAAGCAAGUCCCGGUGCCAACUGAUAUUCAAGGGGUGGAAAAUAGACUCAGCCUCUCGAUGGGAGAAGCCAUAAGUGAUCUGUGACCGUUUUAGAUGCGCCACAGAAAAGCAGGCUGUAGCCAGAUCAUGUGUGGCUUCAUAAGCGAAGCGCAGGAGUUAGGACUUUGUCUUAACAGCCUCCUGUAUGAUCAGUGCCAUGUCUUCAUUUCAAGACACGGUCCUAACAAACUUGUGGUUGAAAAUCUUUUAAGGGUGGGAAGAGUAACUGACUCCUUGCGAUGGACUGUAACGCAGCAGAGUAGCGUUGCAUGCAGAACUGCUGGGUGCAAGUUCCAGGGGGCCUCCCGUCCCCUCCCCACCUCUCUGCCAAGGUGGGGGUGUUAGAGGACCUCCAGCUGGCAGAAGAGAAGCCAGACCCAGGAAGCAUCACUGUUAAGUCUUUUCAGGAAAGGGGAAACUGGACAGAGCGUUUUGUAAUUAUGACUUCCUAAGAUACUGAUACAUCUUUUAAAAAAAAUCACACGCGUAGAUCUUUAAAUUCUUAAUAUGUUCAACCUAAAGUUGAUCUUUUUAAAAUUCCUUGUAGGUUGCCAGCCGAUGGAUCUGGGAUGUUGCGUGGGACAGCUGGGUCGCAGCCAAACACGAGACGGAGACUUACGUGGCCUUGGCCUUGGUAUUUGCUCUGUAUUGUGAAUAGUUUGUUACAUGGAGUAAAGAGUGUUUGCUUCUCAACUUUCCAAAAACACAUGAAAUUUAUAGAUUUGCAAACCUCACAGUAGUUUUAAUUAGCUAUAUUUUUAUCUUUAAUCGAAGCUUGAUAACUUAUUUUAACAACGAAUAAAAGCUGGAUUUCUACCU